UCACAGUUUUAAAAAUGGUUUGGUUUUGUUUGGUUAUGUUUUCAAAUACCAAAACAGUUUUGAAAAUAAGAGAGAAAAGAAAAGGAUUUUCAAAAUCAAACCCUAACCCCUCUAACCAGGCCUCUCUCUGGACCCUCUCUAUCCGGCGGCCCAACUCCUUUCCCUCCUCCCUGGCCCGAGCCGGCCACUUCCUCUUUCAGCCCAAGCCCACCAACCAUACCCCUUCGCUUUUCUUUCCUGUUGUCGUCAUCCUCCUCCACGAGCACCGCGUGACCACCGUGGUCCUCCACCAGCCUGGCUCACACCUGCCCCCUCUCCUUAUCCUCUCUGCGCCGAACCCUAGCCCUCCCCCUUAUCUUCUUCCCUCCACGCCGCCACCACCUACUUUCCCUCCACCCUUUCUGUUUUCUCCUCUCUGUGAGCAAAGGAAGGGGAAAACCACCACAGUACCUUCUCCACUUGCCAUGGCGCCGCCGCCCCAGAGCACCCCUCGCCGAACCGAGGGCACCAGAAGAUCCGCCUCGUCGUCCUCUUCAUCUGCGUGUAAGGAAUCGUCCCGAGGCGCUUUGUACUGAGCACAAGGUCGCCGAUUCCCCGCAGCGUUUGCUGUCCAUCUUCUCCGAAUCCGGCCGCCUACGUCCUCCUCCGGCCCGUCCGAUACCUCCAUCACGAUCGCGGUACCCGACGCCGACGCCACUCCGGUGCCUCCCCGGCUCAAAGUCCUUCAUGGCUGGAGUCCCCAUGCUCUUCCGUUUCGAACGUGCCCGCUCCCGUCGCACCUCGUUUCCUACUUCGUGAGAUCGACAUCAGACCAGGACCUCACGCCAUGGCUGCAGCCUCCCAAGUUCAUCCACGUCGCUGUUUGGUUCAAGUUGUUCCACGUCCUCCUUUACACAUGAAACGGACAAUACCGCAGUGAUCUGGCAGCACCGACGGGCCUUGGCCCAGAUCCUCCGUCCCUGAUCAACGCCCAGUGCGGCCCAGGCCAAUCUCACGCCAAAGCUGACCAGUUCCAGCCCAGGACAGCGCAGCAUUUGCUUCUUCCCGGAUAGGAUCACGAAGUGGUGUGGUGAGAUACGCCAAGUUCUCCGGAUGUCCCUCGGCAAGCUUUAACAGGCAAG
Molecule: long non-coding RNA, 1121 nt
Organism: Lolium perenne
Lineage: Eukaryota; Viridiplantae; Streptophyta; Magnoliopsida; Poales; Poaceae
Source: RefSeq, a predicted model, not a curated record